This 901-nucleotide ribosomal RNA is filed under the name uncultured bacterium. RNAcentral's name for it is "bacterial SSU rRNA". It matches the Rfam family "Bacterial small subunit ribosomal RNA", at positions 33 to 929 of the family's 1533-position model. The record is from RNAcentral.
ACGCUAGCUACAGGCUUAACACAUGCAAGUCGAGGGCAGCGGGUUGAAAGCUUGCUUUCAAUGCCGGCGACCGGCGCACGGGUGCGUAACGCGUAUCAAACCUGCCUCAUACUCGGGGAUAGCCUUGCGAAAGUAAGAUUAAUACCCGAUGUUGUUGCUUUCUCGCAUGGGAGAGUAACCAAAGAUUUAUCGGUAUGAGAUGGUGAUGCGUCCGAUAGGUAGUAGGUGGGGUAACGGCCCACCUAGCCUUCGAUCGGUAGGGGUUCUGAGAGGAAGGUCCCCCACACUGGAACUGAGACACGGUCCAGACUCCUACGGGAGGCAGCAGUGAGGAAUAUUGGUCAAUGGGCGAGAGCCUGAACCAGCCAAGUAGCGUGCAGGAUGACGGCCCUCCGGGUUGUAAACUGCUUUUAGUUGGGAAUAAAAAAAGGGACUUGUCCCUUCUUGUAUGUACCUUCAGAAAAAGGACCGGCUAAUUCCGUGCCAGCAGCCGCGGUAAUACGGAAGGUCCAGGCGUUAUCCGGAUUUAUUGGGUUUAAAGGGAGCGUAGGCGGAUUGUUAAGUCAGCGGUUAAAGGGUGUGGCUCAACCAUGCAUUGCCGUUGAAACUGGCGAUCUUGAGUGCAGACAGGGAUGCCGGAAUUCGUGGUGUAGCGGUGAAAUGCUUAGAUAUCACGAAGAACUCCGAUCGCGAAGGCAGGUGUCCGGGCUGCAACUGACGCUGAGGCUCGAAAGUGUGGGUAUCAAACAGGAUUAGAUACCCUGGUAGUCCACACAGUAAACGAUGUAUACUCGCGGUUUGCGAUAGACAGUAAGCCGCCAAGCGAAAGCAUUAAGUAUACCACCUGGGGAGUACGCCGGCAACGGUGAAACUCAAAGGAAUUGACGGGGGCCCGCACAAG